RNAcentral lists this ribosomal RNA (406 nucleotides) under uncultured bacterium. RNAcentral describes it as "partial 16S ribosomal RNA". It matches the Rfam family "Bacterial small subunit ribosomal RNA", at positions 30 to 526 of the family's 1533-position model. The record is from RNAcentral.
AUUGAACGCUGGCGGCAGGCCUAACACAUGCAAGUCGAACGAGUGGCGGACGGGUGAGUAAUGUCUGGGAAACUGCCUGAUGGAGGGGGAUAACUACUGGAAACGGUAGCUAAUACCGCAUACCAUCAGAUGCGCCCAGAUGGGAACAGCUUGUUGGUGGGGUAACGGCUCACCAAGGCGACGAUCCCUAGCUGGUCUGAGAGGAUGACCAGCCACACUGGAACUGAGACACGGUCCAGACUCCUACGGAGGGCAGCGUGGGGGAAUAUUGCACAAUGGGCGAAAGCCUGAUGCAGCAAUGCCGCGUGUAUGAAGAAGGCCUUCGGGUUGUAAAGUACUUUCAGCGGGGAGGCGUUACCCACAGAAGAAGCACCAGCUAACUCCGUGCAAGCAGCCGCGGUAAUAC